UACGUAGGGGGCGAGCGUUGUCCGGAUUUAUUGGGCGUAAAGCGUGCGUAGGCGGCUGCGCAAGUCGGUUGUGAAACCCCGGGGCUCAACCCCGGAACUGCAUCCGAUACUGCGUGGCUAGAGGUAGGUAGGGGAGAUCGGAAUUCCUGGUGUAGCGGUGAAAUGCGCAGAUAUCAGGAAGAACACCAACGGCGAAGGCAGCUCGCUGGGACGGUACUGACGCUAAGGCGCGAAAGCGUGGGGAGCGAACAGG
RNAcentral lists this ribosomal RNA (253 nucleotides) under uncultured bacterium. RNAcentral describes it as "partial 16S ribosomal RNA". It matches the Rfam family "Bacterial small subunit ribosomal RNA", at positions 524 to 776 of the family's 1533-position model. The record is from RNAcentral.